GCGAACAUAAUCACCAGGUGUGCUGGGACCAAGUCUCACACAUAUGAUGAUUCAUGGCACAGGAUCGAAUGUCACAUCUUUACUAUAUAAUAAGAGUUCUAUACAAAUAAAUAAAUAGAUAAUUACAUCAAAAGGAGACAACGGUCCAGCAACCCAAAGUUGACUGGGAGACGACGACCUAGACCUCUCACGAACGCAGCACAACAUCCUCCAAGCACCUCAUCCUGUGGUACCUGUUCUUGACCUGUGGGGGUGUGAGACAGCAAGAGUGAGCUCACAUACGUUCAUCGCUCAACAAGUUGUGGGGAAUAAUGUGUAUGAACUCGCCAAAGGUGGGAGCUCAUGUGAAGUGUAAGGCUUACCAAAGAGGAUGGCUGAAGCUGAGCAUUGCUUUUAAAGUUGGUCAAAAUUUUAUUAGCAAUUACUAAGUAUAAGUAAAUACCAACCCAAUUAAGUAGCAGAACAAAAGUAACAACCUCACCUGCGAUGCAAUGCAUAUGACAAAUUGAGUUUAAGUUUCAUAAUUUAAUCAUGUGAGGGUCCGAGCUGCUCUUGACCGUGAGCAUGGCUAGUAUACCAGUUUUACACUCUGCAGAGGUUGCGCAUCUUUACCCACAAGUCAUGUUACCCAUCUGCCAAGGGAUCGCGACUUCCCAUACACCUCUACCGAGGAGGCGAGGCAGGGUAACACUACGAGGCCUUUACAAAGUUCCACUAGCUUCAGAAAACCCGCUACAGUUUAUAGGAAGCUCCAAUGCAGGAAUCCCUUGCAGGACCGCCGUCGCAGCAAAAUCCUCCCGAGGGCCUCCCUACACUGACCACUCCCCCACUGCCCUUGCCCCUUUCGGGUAAGGUAGUCUUCCACUAGCUUUCCUAAUUAAUCAGCCAAGGGGUCCCAUUCCUCCCUUGUGGUAGCAUUGUUUUCCCGGGUGGUCGCUCCAUGUUCCAAUUAACAUAAUGAUCUUAUCAUGAACAGUAAUAAUAAACAUAUAAUAAAAGUGUGAUCAUGAAUAAUGUACCUUCAUACCCAAAACCACAUAAAGCACUAGCAAGUACUACCCAAAAAGUUCAGUGGUAAACAAGGUAUAAAGAUAGACAAACUAGGGUAACCUAUUGGGUCCCAUCAAAAUUAACCUAUGCAGAUCAUUAUGAUUAAUCAGAACAUGGCUAGGUAAAAAGAAGUGAUCAAGGGCACAACUUGCCUGGGACUUGAGAUUCUAGGUACCAGGAUGAUCUUCAGAGGACUCGUAACCUCGCGCUAGUCGUAGCAAUACAAACAAACAUGGUAUAGGCAAAAUUAACGUCACACCAAACACAAGGAUAAACUGCGCAUUAAUAAUCUACGCGUUGCUACGAGAUCGUGGGGAACGUGAACCAUUAAAAUCGGAGUUACGGUUAAAGAGUCAUGAUUUUAUAGAAGAUUUAUGUGAUUAAAAAUAUUAAUCUAUAUUAUAAAUUAGUUAAUAUAAAUCAUAUAAGAGGUUAUUCUAUAAAUAAUUAUCUCAACUUUAAUCUAAGUUAUAAAUUGACCAUAGAUCAUAUUCUAGUAGUCUAUAAUGAUAAGCAGUUUAAGCACACCAACCAACAUCAGUUAAAUAUAGAUCUAAUUAUAAAAUAAUGAGACAUGGUAUAAUAAAUAUUGUUAUUACAUAGAAAUUAUUCGUACGAGACUAACGCAACUUGAACGGAUUAAAUCAGAAUCAUAGAUUUUAAGUUAUGAAUUUCUAAUGAUUUUAUGUAUUUUGCACAAGAUUAAAUAGGAUAUAAAUUUAAAUGUAACUUUCAUGUCAAAACAGUGGCACUAACUGAUAAACAAUAAUAUUACAAAAUUAUAGGAAUUGGAAUGGAUUAAUUUGGACUCAAUAUGGAUUUUCUAUGAAUUAAAUAAGAUUCUGGAAUUAUUUUAACACUAGAAAUCAUUUUCUAAUUGAAUUUCUGAAUUUGCUCUGAUUCUGGACUGUGCGCAUAAAAACAAAGAAAUGCAGGGGUCUCUACGAAACAAUCCCGAGGCUCAGACAACAGUGCUCGGGACGGUGGGUUGGUUUCUGUAUUCUGUAGGGGCUCAUAUGCAAAUGUACGGGAUCGAAGGGGUAUCGUGGAGUCUGGGUCGUCCGAUCUAAUCCUAGCCGCCCAACAAGGAUCCGAUGGUUGCGAGCUCUCCUCCCCAACCCGGCUGGCCAGAUCUGAUCACGGCCGUUAAUCACUAAAUCCAUGGCCCAGGGAUCGUCUUCUACCUUGGCUGCUACUGCUUCUCAGUACGUACGUGAUACCGGCCUACGGCCUCUACCGUAGAUACCACACGGUGGCAACCAAGGCAUGGGAGAGGAGGGACUCACCGCUUAAAGGCAGAGCCGACCGACGACGGAACGCGGUGCGCAGCGAGGCACAGGAGCCAAACGCCGACAAGCAUAGGAUUCGCGGCGGCGGAUGAAAUCCUAAUUACCCAGCGCUCUAUACUCUAAUCCGAAGAGUACUAAUCGUAGCGCAGAUAAAGCCGAAUUUAGGGAGGGAGCCAUACCGAGCAUCGAUCAGAAACUAUCAUGGAGACGAUGUCCCACGGCUCCGCGCGGACGCGACGAAAUCAACGAGAAUCAGCCGUUCGCCCCUGUCCCUCCGAGCUCAGAGUCGACCUUGAUUGAUUACAAUCCCCGCGCAGCUUCCGCCACGGUUUGGUGAUGGCGAAUACCUCCCCUUGAUCGCGAGUAGUGGAUCGAUGGGACCACAGAAAAGUUAAUGGAGAUAUAUAU
RNAcentral lists this long non-coding RNA (2747 nucleotides) under Zea mays. Its description in RNAcentral is "long non-coding RNA (ZMAY_LNC004983)". Lineage: Eukaryota; Viridiplantae; Streptophyta; Magnoliopsida; Poales; Poaceae. The record is from RNAcentral.